AGUGAACGCUGGCGGUAGGCCUAACACAUGUAAGUCGAACGGCAGCACAGUAAGGGCUUGCUCUUACGGGUGGCGAGUGGCGGACGGGUGAGGAAUACAUCGGAAUCUACUUUUUCGUGGGGGAUAACGUAGGGAAACUUACGCUAAUACCGCAUACGACCUACGGGUGAAAGCAGGGGAUCUUCGGACCUUGCGCGAUUGAAUGAGCCGAUGUCGGAUUAGCUAGUUGGCGGGGUAAAGGCCCACCAAGGCGACGAUCCGUAGCUGGUCUGAGAGGAUGAUCAGCCACACUGGAACUGAGACACGGUCCAGACUCCUACGGGAGGCAGCAGUGGGGAAUAUUGGACAAUGGGCGCAAGCCUGAUCCAGCCAUACCGCGUGGGUGAAGAAGGCCUUCGGGUUGUAAAGCCCUUUUGUUGGGAAAGAAAAGCAGCAGGUUAAUACCCCGCUGUUCUGACGGUACCCAAAGAAUAAGCACCGGCUAACUUCGUG
This 492-nucleotide ribosomal RNA is filed under the name uncultured bacterium. RNAcentral's name for it is "partial 16S ribosomal RNA". It matches the Rfam family "Bacterial small subunit ribosomal RNA", at positions 29 to 507 of the family's 1533-position model. The record is from RNAcentral.